AAUUGCACUUGCUUAUUGCACCACAUGUGUUUUUCUUUGAAACAAACUUGCUUUGGCGGUGGGCCCAGCCUGCCGCCAGAGGUCUAAACUUACAACCAAUUUUUUAUCAACUUGUCACACCAGAUUAUUACUAAUAGUCAAAACUUUCAACAACGGAUCUCUUGGUUCUCGCAUCGAUGAAGAACGCAGCGAAAUGCGAUACGUAAUAUGAAUUGCAGAUAUUCGUGAAUCAUCGAAUCUUUGAACGCACAUUGCGCCCUCUGGUAUUCCGGAGGGCAUGCCUGUUUGAGCGUCGUUUCUCCCUCAAACCGCUGGGUUUGGUGUUGAGCAAUACGACUUGGGUUUGCUUGAAAGACGGUAGUGGUAAGGCGGGAUCGCUUUGACAAUGGCUUAGGUCUAACCAAAAACAUUGCUUGCGGCGGUAACGUCUACCACGUAUAUCUUCAAACUUUGACCUCAAAUCAGGUAGGACUACCCGCUGAACUUAAGCAUAUCAAAAGCCGGAGGAA
This 509-nucleotide ribosomal RNA is filed under the name Candida albicans. RNAcentral describes it as "eukaryotic LSU rRNA". The stretch from base 142 to 295 matches the Rfam family "5.8S ribosomal RNA". Lineage: Eukaryota; Fungi; Ascomycota; Pichiomycetes; Serinales; Debaryomycetaceae. The record is from RNAcentral.